GGCCUCGGAGCUCAGUUGGCUAGAGCGUCGGCUGUACUAAAGUCUUCCCUUGAUGACAUGGGUUCGAAUCCCUCCGAGGCCG
This 82-nucleotide transfer RNA is filed under the name Schistocephalus solidus. It matches the Rfam family "tRNA". From Rfam's summary of the family: Transfer RNA (tRNA) molecules are approximately 80 nucleotides in length. Their secondary structure includes four short double-helical elements and three loops (D, anti-codon, and T loops). The record is from Rfam by way of RNAcentral. Lineage: Eukaryota; Metazoa; Platyhelminthes; Cestoda; Diphyllobothriidea; Diphyllobothriidae.